UUGAUCAUGGCUCAGAUUGAACGCUGGCGGCAUGCUUUACACAUGCAAGUCGAACGGUAACAGGGAGCUUGCUCCGCUGACGAGUGGCGAACGGGUGAGUAAUAUAUCGGAACGUACCCAAGAGUGGGGGAUAACGUAGCGAAAGUUACGCUAAUACCGCAUACGAUCUAUGGAUGAAAGCAGGGGACCUUCGGGCCUUGUGCUCCUGGAGCGGCCGAUAUCUGAUUAGCUAGUUGGUGAGGUAAAGGCUCACCAAGGCGACGAUCAGUAGCUGGUCUGAGAGGACGACCAGCCACACUGGAACUGAGACACGGUCCAGACUCCUACGGGAGGCAGCAGUGGGGAAUUUUGGACAAUGGGCGCAAGCCUGAUCCAGCAAUGCCGCGUGAGUGAAGAAGGCCUUCGGGUUGUAAAGCUCUUUUGUCAGGGAAGAAACGGUAGAGGCUAAUAUCUUUUGCUAAUGACGGUACCUGAAGAAUAAGCACCGGCUAACUACGUGCCAGCAGCCGCGGUAAUACGUAGGGUGCAAGCGUUAAUCGGAAUUACUGGGCGUAAAGCGUGCGCAGGCGGUUUUGUAAGUCUGUCGUGAAAUCCCCGGGCUCAACCUGGGAAAUUGCGAUGGAGACUGCAAGGCUAGAAUCUGGCAGAGGGGGGUAGAAUUCCACGUGUAGCAGUGAAAUGCGUAGAGAUGUGAGACACCGAUGGNNNANGCAGCCCCUGGGUCANNNNUGACGCUCAUGCACGAAAGCGUGGGGAGCAAACAGGAUUAGAUACCCUGGUAGUCCACGCCCUAAACGAUGUCUACUAGUUGUCGGGUUUUAAUUAACUUGGUAACGCAGCUAACGCGUGAAGUAGACCGCCUGGGGGAGUACGGUCGCAAGAUUAAAACUCAAAGGAAUUGACGGGGACCCGCACAAGCGGUGGAUGAUGUGGAUUAAUUCGAUGCAACGCGAAAAACCUUACCUACCCUUGACAUGUCAGGAAGGCCGAAGAGAUUUGGCUGUGCCCGAAAGGGAACCUGAACACAGGUGCUGCAUGGCUGUCGUCAGCUCGUGUCGUGAGAUGUUGGGUUAAGUCCCGCAACGAGCGCAACCCUUGUCAUUAGUUGCUACGCAAGAGCACUCUAAUGAGACUGCCGGUGACAAACCGGAGGAAGGUGGGGAUGACGUCAAGUCCUCAUGGCCCUUAUGGGUAGGGCUUCACACGUCAUACAAUGGUACAUACAGAGGGCCGCCAACCCGCGAGGGGGAGCUAAUCCCAGAAAGUGUAUCGUAGUCCGGAUCGUAGUCUGCAACUCGACUACGUGAAGUUGGAAUCGCUAGUAAUCGCGGAUCAGUAUGCCGCGGUGAAUACGUUCCCGGGUCUUGUACACACCGCCCGUCACACCAUGGGAGCGGGUUUUACCAGAAGUAGGUAGCUUAACCGCAAGGAGAGCGCUUACC
This 1442-nucleotide ribosomal RNA is filed under the name uncultured Massilia sp. RNAcentral describes it as "16S ribosomal RNA". It matches the Rfam family "Bacterial small subunit ribosomal RNA". Lineage: Bacteria; Pseudomonadati; Pseudomonadota; Betaproteobacteria; Burkholderiales; Oxalobacteraceae. The record is from RNAcentral.